GUUGCCAUCGGGCGAGCCGGGCACUCUGGAGGGACUGCCGGCGACAAGCCGGAGGAAGGUGGGGAGUGACGUCAAGUCAUCAUGGCCCUUAUGUCCAGGGCGACACACGUGCUACAAUGGCCGGCACAGCGGGAAGCGGAGGGGCGACCCUGAGCGGAUCCCUUGAAAGCCGGUCCCAAGUUCCGGAUUGCAGUCUGCAACUCGACUGCAUGAAGUUGGAAUCGCUAGUAAUCGCGGAUCAGCCAAGCCGCGGUGAAUACGUUCCCGGGCCUU
This 273-nucleotide ribosomal RNA is filed under the name uncultured Thermovirga sp. Its description in RNAcentral is "partial 16S ribosomal RNA". It matches the Rfam family "Bacterial small subunit ribosomal RNA", at positions 1114 to 1382 of the family's 1533-position model. Lineage: Bacteria; Thermotogati; Synergistota; Synergistia; Synergistales; Thermovirgaceae. The record is from RNAcentral.